UCUCCCUCAAUGACUUUAUUUUAGGGGACAACGCUCCAGAAUUACUUCUUCCGACCAUGUUUCUCUCUGUAUAUCCUGACACUAGAUGGUGCAAUGUGAAUUCUAUGAUAAACUCUAUCCAGAUGUAGUUUCUCUCUGUUAUUAUUACGAGGUCUGUUAUCCAGGUACCAGUCUAUGUUGAAUUCUUGACGCCUAGAUUCUUUCCCAGUAAUUGAGCCAAGUUGGACAAAGCUAUUUACUUCUGGCAUGCCUUCAAUAAAACCUUAGCAAUUCUUUAAAUUCCAUAUUGACAGAGGUUCUGGGUACAAUGAGGAUUUAUGAUCUAAACACUUACUGAACGUGAACUCUCUGGAAGUGUUGUAGGUAGAAUGUGCAGCAUCGGCUAACAGCAAACCAUGGAAGGACACCUGAAGCUGCUAUUGGCUUUGUAAUCUUAUGUAGAGUAAACCAGAUUCAUGCAACAUUCUACAGUCUGUACAAAGGGCCCGGCCAUUAUAUAGCUAUCCCUAUCAGCAAAGCUAAGAAAUCUUUUGUGAGUGACUAGUUAGAAGGCUUACUGGAAAGUUACUCUUCUUCUGCAAAGACCAGAGGAUGGCCAUGAUGUAGGGUCAAGAUGACUUGGGACCUCAGUGGUUAAGACAUCUCCUUCAUCUAUUCAGAAUAGCUUAUUAGGGCAAAUAUCUUUCUAUUUUCUAUCAGAAAGGUAGAAUCAUAUAAACCCCACAGAGUGCCCUAAACAUUUUGGAUUCCAUCAAUAAAAUUUGGACUGUAUGUCAAUCUCGUGAAGCCUUCACACCACCGCCACUGGGUCAUUCAUUUCUUGA
Molecule: long non-coding RNA, 824 nt
Organism: Hyla sarda
Lineage: Eukaryota; Metazoa; Chordata; Amphibia; Anura; Hylidae
Exons: 3
Source: RefSeq, a predicted model, not a curated record